CGUGCCACCGCAUCUCAGACCGGGUUUUGUGGGGAGGGAGGAGAGGCCUGGGCCGGAGGUUUUUAGGGGGAAGGAGGCGAAUCAGAGGCCGCCGCAGCAGCAACAAGAUUAUUUUGUGUCUAAGGGUGAGUAUGGGGUUGAUGGAAGGCCUAAAUCUGGUGGUUAUGAGAGGAUGAUGGGAGGUGGCGAGUCAGAUCUGGGUUUGAUGAAUCGUCCCAGAUCUAGUGGGAACCGCCCCAGUUCAAGUGGAUGAGGUUCAUAUGAAGUAGUUUAACUUGUGGAAGAUAGGAUGAAACCUGGUGGCACCUUUUGAGUUCUUGACCCUGUUGAUAGAAUUCACAUUGAAGUGAUGUAAAAGAGAGUAUCUGGGACUUUCAAGCAGUCAAGCUGCAUCAUUGCUCGGUAAUUCAAUCUUUGUAGCUGUUUAAAGAAAGACAUCAAGGUGCCUACAGAAUGUAGAUUGUGUGAUUUUUUU
This 475-nucleotide unclassified non-coding RNA is filed under the name Hevea brasiliensis (rubber tree). Lineage: Eukaryota; Viridiplantae; Streptophyta; Magnoliopsida; Malpighiales; Euphorbiaceae. The record is from RNAcentral.